UUUGCUGCUUCCAUGAGACCUCCUAUGUUUGAGGGUAUCCACUAUAAGAGGUGGCGCGUGAGAGCAGUCUUAUGGUUUCAAACCAUGAGUUGCUAUGACGCCACACUUGGCAAACCUGAAGGAGAGCUUGAUGCUCAACAAGCACAAGCUUUUCAGAAAAUGGAUACUCUGUUUAAGGCUGCUCUCUUGAGUGUUCUUGGAGAGAACAUAGUUGAUGCUUAUGCGUCAAUUGAUAAUGGAAAAGAUAUGUGGGAUGCACUCGAGGCCAAGUUUGGGGUCUCGGAUGCUGGCACUGAGCUGUACAUCAUGGAGCAAUUCUAUGAUUACAGGAUGACUGAAGAGCGCUCCGUGGUUGAGCAAGCUCAUGAGAUACAGUCGUUUGCUAGAGAACUU
Molecule: ribosomal RNA, 393 nt
Filed under: Triticum aestivum (bread wheat)
Lineage: Eukaryota; Viridiplantae; Streptophyta; Magnoliopsida; Poales; Poaceae
Description: partial small subunit ribosomal RNA
Source: RNAcentral